Molecule: long non-coding RNA, 956 nt
Organism: Lates calcarifer (barramundi perch)
Lineage: Eukaryota; Metazoa; Chordata; Actinopteri; Centropomidae
Exons: 3
Source: RefSeq, a predicted model, not a curated record
GUAUGUUUGCUGCUUCAAUGAUAAGUCAGAAGAAUAUCCACAGUUAGCCUGCAAAGACAAGAACAGAACAGCUGAGGAACAACAAACCAUCGCUAGACUGAAGAACAAGUCCUGGGUUUUUGGCGUCUCUAUACUCCUCUGUUCCCUCUUUGUGGCUGCUGUAACGGCAGGUGGAUUGAGGAGAUGUUGCAACAAAAAAGUUCUGUAUUACAAACUGAUUUUGAAGGAGGAGGAAAAGGCACUGAAAGAUCAUUUGAGAUCAAAAGCAACUGAAAAGCUGACUGAAAAGUUCUGCAAAAAUAGUGACAAAAAUUGGAAAGAAUGUUUUGGUGCUGCUGAUAAGCUGAUUAAAGAAGUUGUAAAGGCAGAAAACCAGACACAAUCUGCAGCCACCGGGAAUACUGAUGAAGAUUUAGAAAUGCAGGCCCUAUCAACAUAAUGAGCCGAGGACAUCAAAUACUGUGCAGUAACAAGCAGCAUUUGAUAGUUUCAUUUCCACAACAUACUGUUGAGAAAUGUUGGAUGACUAUAAUUCACCUGUACAUAUAUGAAGCUUUAAUCUGUAAUGAUGCUGUUUCUCAUUGGACACUGACUGUGGAAAAUUACCAGUUUAAAGAAAUGUUUCCAUCCUGGUUCAUGUUUUCAUGACCUUCAGCUCCCAGUUUUCUACCAGUCAGUUUAAUGCUGUGAAAAGGCUUAAUGUUCAUCAUAUUAUCAUCCAACAAUGAAAAGCUCUGAAGCUCUCUGUGAUAACUUGGUACAACAGCAACUCUGUGAACAGGAAGGUGAGAAUCUGCAGCUGUCAGUGUCUGAACAGUGAGCGCUCCCUGCUGUUUAAAAAUCUUCAUCACAGGUGAAGAACUGUCCAGGAAUUUUAAGUUAAAUGCUGUAAUACAUUUUAUAGUGGGCACAACUACACUGGUAAAAAUUCAAAGUUGAUAUUUCUACCAUUACGU